Molecule: long non-coding RNA, 1758 nt
Organism: Bombina bombina (fire-bellied toad)
Lineage: Eukaryota; Metazoa; Chordata; Amphibia; Anura; Bombinatoridae
Exons: 6
Source: RefSeq, a predicted model, not a curated record
CCGGGAGUAGCACAACAGCGCCAGCAGCUUUCAAGAGAUCUUCACAAAGGCUAGGGACCCAAAGCAAAUUCUGCAACCUAGGCUUGGGAUUUCCCAAGGAUGGAACUACCGUUGGUGCAGCAGCACCAGGGCCCAAGUGCUGGGGGGGCACCAAAGUCCGAAGGGCUCCUGCGCUCUCUCCUCACCUUUCACCACUGUGCCGGCGACCUUAACUAAGAUGGCCGCCGGCAAUGAAAUAACAGCACCGCUCUUAUGCAUGCCCCUCAUUCCUGUUCUCCUUGAGAUCUAACGAAACCUGAGCAUGUUACCUCCCCUGCACCGGGAGUAGCACAACAGCGCCAGCAGCUUUCAAGAGAUCUUCACAAAGGCUAGGGACCCAAAGCAAAUUCUGCAACCUAGGCUUGGGAUUUCCCAAGGAUGGAACUACCGUUGGUGCAGCAGCACCAGGGCCCAAGUGCUGGGGGGGCACCAAAGUCCGAAGGGCUCCUGCGCUCUCUCCUCACCUUUCACCACUGUGCCGGCGACCUUAACUAAGAUGGCCGCCGGCAAUGAAAUAACAGCACCGCUCUUAUGCAUGCCCCUCAUUCCUGUUCUCCUUGAGAUCUAACGAAACCUGAGCAUGUUACCUCCCCUGCACCGGGAGUAGCACAACAGCGCCAGCAGCUUUCAAGAGAUCUUCACAAAGGCUAGGGACCCAAAGCAAAUUCUGCAACCUAGGCUUGGGAUUUCCCAAGGAUGGAACUACCGUUGGUGCAGCAGCACCAGGGCCCAAGUGCUGGGGGGGCACCAAAGUCCGAAGGGCUCCUGCGCUCUCUCCUCACCUUUCACCACUGUGCCGGCGACCUUAACUAAGAUGGCCGCCGGCAAUGAAAUAACAGCACCGCUCUUAUGCAUGCCCCUCAUUCCUGUUCUCCUUGAGAUCUAACGAAACCUGAGCAUGUUACCUCCCCUGCACCGGGAGUAGCACAACAGCGCCAGCAGCUUUCAAGAGAUCUUCACAAAGGCUAGGGACCCAAAGCAAAUUCUGCAACCUAGGCUUGGGAUUUCCCAAGGAUGGAACUACCGUUGGUGCAGCAGCACCAGGGCCCAAGUGCUGGGGGGGCACCAAAGUCCGAAGGGCUCCUGCGCUCUCUCCUCACCUUUCACCACUGUGCCGGCGACCUUAACUAAGAUGGCCGCCGGCAAUGAAAUAACAGCACCGCUCUUAUGCAUGCCCCUCAUUCCUGUUCUCCUUGAGAUCUAACGAAACCUGAGCAUGUUACCUCCCCUGCACCGGGAGUAGCACAACAGCGCCAGCAGCUUUCAAGAGAUCUUCACAAAGGCUAGGGACCCAAAGCAAAUUCUGCAACCUAGGCUUGGGAUUUCCCAAGGAUGGAACUACCGUUGGUGCAGCAGCACCAGGGCCCAAGUGCUGGGGGGGCACCAAAGUCCGAAGGGCUCCUGCGCUCUCUCCUCACCUUUCACCACUGUGCCGGCGACCUUAACUAAGAUGGCCGCCGGCAAUGAAAUAACAGCACCGCUCUUAUGCAUGCCCCUCAUUCCUGUUCUCCUUGAGAUCUAACGAAACCUGAGCAUGUUACCUCCCCUGCACCGGGAGUAGCACAACAGCGCCAGCAGCUUUCAAGAGAUCUUCACAAAGGCUGUAAGUUUUGUUCGUUGUUUCCUAUGAAAUCCUAUGGAGUAUUUGCUGCCUAAGGGUUUGUGCCUUAAAGGGACAUUAAACCCCAAAAAAUUAUUUCAUGAUGCAGAUAGAGGAUU